UCCAUUUAACUAGUUAGCCAAAGAUCCUACCUUUAACCUUUCUUUAUUGCUAUUUUUUUUGUCUAUAUAUGCAGGUGUUCCAUGACUGUUGGUCGGCCUUCACAUAUAAAAUCACAUUAAUAAAGAAGUUAGCUUCAAAGAAAUAACGGCUCUCUUUUUGAAGGGCAGAGCAAGUCUGUGUUGACAUCAAUUCCAAUCUACACCUUUGAGCAACACC
This 217-nucleotide long non-coding RNA is filed under the name Elaeis guineensis (African oil palm). RNAcentral's name for it is "long non-coding RNA (EGUI_LNC041422)". The record is from RNAcentral. Lineage: Eukaryota; Viridiplantae; Streptophyta; Magnoliopsida; Arecales; Arecaceae.